UGCGUAACACGUAUGCAACCUACCUUUAACUGGGAGAUAGCCCGGGGAAACUCGGAUUAAUAUCCCAUAACACAGUGUUUUCUCAUGAAGAUAUUGUUAAAGCUCCGGCGGUUGAAGAUGGGCAUGCGUCCGAUUAGCUAGUUGGUGGGGUAAUGGCCCACCAAGGCUACGAUCGGUAGGGGGUCUGAGAGGAUGAUCCCCCACACUGGUACUGAGAUACGGACCAG
Molecule: ribosomal RNA, 227 nt
Filed under: uncultured bacterium
Lineage: Bacteria
Description: partial 16S ribosomal RNA
Rfam family: Bacterial small subunit ribosomal RNA
Source: RNAcentral